RNAcentral lists this ribosomal RNA (882 nucleotides) under uncultured Flavobacteriaceae bacterium. RNAcentral's name for it is "bacterial SSU rRNA". It matches the Rfam family "Bacterial small subunit ribosomal RNA", at positions 58 to 936 of the family's 1533-position model. Lineage: Bacteria; Pseudomonadati; Bacteroidota; Flavobacteriia; Flavobacteriales; Flavobacteriaceae. The record is from RNAcentral.
CAAGUCGUGGGGCAGCAGGGUGUAGCAAUACAUCGCUGGCGACCGGCAAACGGGUGCGGAACACGUACACAACCUUCCUUUAAGUGGGGAAUAGCCCAGGGAAACUUGGAUUAAUACCCCGUAACAUAUCGAAGAGGCAUCUCUUUGAUAUUAUAGCUACGGCGCUUGAAGAUGGGUGUGCGGCUGAUUAGGUAGUUGGCGGGGUAACGGCCCACCAAGCCUACGAUCAGUAACUGGUGUGAGAGCACGACCAGUCACACGGGCACUGAGACACGGGCCCGACUCCUACGGGAGGCAGCAGUAAGGAAUAUUGGUCAAUGGACGCAAGUCUGAACCAGCCAUGCCGCGUGGAGGAUGAAGGUCCUCUGGAUUGUAAACUUCUUUUAUCUGGGACGAAAAAAGGGAAUUCUUUCUCACUUGACGGUACCAGAUGAAUAAGCACCGGCUAACUCCGUGCCAGCAGCCGCGGUAAUACGGAGGGUGCAAGCGUUAUCCGGAUUCACUGGGUUUAAAGGGUGCGUAGGUGGGCUUGUAAGUCAGUGGUGAAAUCUCCGGGCUUAACUCGGAAACUGCCAUUGAUACUAUAAGUCUUGAAUACCAUGGAGGUGAGCGGAAUAUGUCAUGUAGCGGUGAAAUGCUUAGAUAUGACAUAGAACACCAAUUGCGAAGGCAGCUCGCUACGCGGUUAUUGACACUGAGGCACGAAAGCGUGGGGAUCAAACAGGAUUAGAUACCCUGGUAGUCCACGCCCUAAACGAUGGAUACUCGACAUCAGCGAUACACUGUUGGUGUCUGAGCGAAAGCAUUAAGUAUCCCACCUGGGAAGUACGACCGCAAGGUUGAAACUCAAAGGAAUUGACGGGGGUCCGCACAAGCGGUGGA